RNAcentral lists this microRNA precursor (103 nucleotides) under Marmota monax (woodchuck). The record is from RNAcentral. Lineage: Eukaryota; Metazoa; Chordata; Mammalia; Rodentia; Sciuridae.
AGCAGAAUUGCUGGGUCAUAUGAUGACUUUGUAUUUAACUUUUUGAGGAACCACCAAAAUAAUAUUCAUAGAGAUUGUACCAUUUUACAUUCUCACUAGCAAU